Molecule: long non-coding RNA, 633 nt
Filed under: Sorghum bicolor (sorghum)
Lineage: Eukaryota; Viridiplantae; Streptophyta; Magnoliopsida; Poales; Poaceae
Description: long non-coding RNA (SBIC_LNC015909)
Source: RNAcentral
ACGCAUCCACAUACAUCCACUCAUUUCCAUCUCUAGAUUCACCCAAAAUUAUUCUACUCCUAUCCGGGAGAGAAUAGCCAAAAACAUUAUUCUAUCCCAGUUAUUCCCAGUGAAAUAAAUGCUCAAGAUAUUUUGGUUACUACCACUUGCUACAUUAUUCCAUUAUUCCAGGAGGGUGAGUGCUCUCAAAAAAAGGUGAAAACGAGGAAACAAAAAAGGGGCAAGUGCCCGGAACCUCGAAAGAAAAGAAAAAGUGAGACCAGAGGUAAAAAUGGACAAGUGUCCGACAGUAGAAUUAGGGGUACAAGAUACCCACCUGAGAGAAAAGAAAAAUAAAAUAUAGAGUAUCUCCUUCUCCUCAAAAAGUUUCAAAUGAGCGAGAAAGGUAUGUAUCCCCUCAAAAGAGCAAAAGCAGAAUUAUACUUUCACCAUUAUUUUCACCAUUAUCACCAUUCAUUCGCCACACAUGCACAUAUUGAUUUGACUUAUUGACUUGUUCUUCUGGAUCCAUGGGUUGACUAUGCAAUAAAUGUCUUGUAAGUAUGUAUUAGCUGUCUCCCACCUAUGAGCUCUAGAUAUCAAAACCUUAUUAGAGUAGGGUGAGAGAGAAGGCAAUGCCACUAUGCCUCAUAC